Molecule: non-coding RNA, 184 nt
Organism: Procavia capensis (Cape rock hyrax)
Lineage: Eukaryota; Metazoa; Chordata; Mammalia; Hyracoidea; Procaviidae
Source: Rfam
AGGAAGAGGGGGGACACUGCUGUGCUGGGCCACCGGUGUGGGUGCAGGCGGGAAGGAAUGUGCCUAGCGGGUGUGGCGAGGAGUGUAGCCAGCUGUGGGUUUUUCUUGGGGCCCAGAGAGACAUGGGCAGAGAUGGCCGCCCCGCUCCCCCGGCCCCCACCACACACACUGAGACCUUUCUUUA